This 290-nucleotide ribosomal RNA is filed under the name uncultured Alphaproteobacteria bacterium. RNAcentral describes it as "partial 16S ribosomal RNA". Lineage: Bacteria; Pseudomonadati; Pseudomonadota; Alphaproteobacteria. The record is from RNAcentral.
UACCAGGGUAUCUAAUCCUGUUUGCUCCCCACGCUUUCAUGCUUCAGCGUCAGUAUCGGGCCAGUGAGCCGCCUUCGCCACUGGUGUUCUUGCGAAUAUCUACGAAUUUCACCUCUACACUCGCAGUUCCACUCACCUCUCCCGAACUCAAGAUCUUCAGUAUCAAAGGCAGUUCUGGAGUUGAGCUCCAGGAUUUCACCCCUGACUUAAAGACCCGCCUACGCACCCUUUACGCCCAAUAAUUCCGAACAACGCUGGCCCCCUACGUAUUACCGCGGCUGCUGGAAGGG